AACGAACGCUGGCGGCAUGCCUAACACAUGCAAGUCGAACGAGACCUUCGGGUCUAGUGGCGCACGGGUUCGUAACGCGUGGGAACCUGCCCUUAGGUUCGGAAUAACUCCCCGAAAGGGGUGCUAAUACCGGAUAAUGUCUUCGGACCAAAGAUUUAUCGCCUUUGGUUGGGCCCGCGUUGGAUUAGCUAGUUGGUAGGGUAAAAGCAUACCAAGGCGACGAUGCAUAGCUGGUAUGAGAGGAUGAUCAGCCACACUGGGACGGAGACACGGCCCAGACUACUACGGAAGGCAGAAGUGGGGAAGAGUGGAAAAUGGGGGAAAGCAUGAUGCAGCAAGGCCGCGAGAGUGAUGAAGGCCUUAGGGAAGGAAAGCUCUUUUAACCGGGAAGAGAAUGACAGUACCGGGAGAAAAAGCACCGGCUAACUACGUG
RNAcentral lists this ribosomal RNA (433 nucleotides) under uncultured bacterium. RNAcentral's name for it is "partial 16S ribosomal RNA". It matches the Rfam family "Bacterial small subunit ribosomal RNA", at positions 29 to 507 of the family's 1533-position model. The record is from RNAcentral.